RNAcentral lists this ribosomal RNA (634 nucleotides) under uncultured bacterium. RNAcentral describes it as "bacterial SSU rRNA". It matches the Rfam family "Bacterial small subunit ribosomal RNA", at positions 903 to 1494 of the family's 1533-position model. The record is from RNAcentral.
AAAGGAGAUUGCACGGGSGCCCGCACAAGCGAGCGGAGCAUAUGGUUUAAUUUAGAUGCAACGCGAAGAACCUUACCAAGGCUUGACAUGAACCGGUAAUACCUGGAAACAGGUGCCCCCCUUGUCGGUACGGAUUWACAGGUGGUGCAUGGUUGUYGUCAYCUCGUGUCGUGAGAUGUUGGGUUAAGUCCCGCAACGAGCGCAACCCUCGUUCUAUGUUGCCAGCGGUUYGGCCGGGGACUCUAUAGGAGACUGCCGGGGUCACACUCGGAGGAGAAGAGUGGGGAGGAGCAGUCUACAAUCAUCUAUGCCCCCUUAUGUCUUGGGCUUCACGCAUGUCUACACAUGGCCGGUACACAAGAGGUUGUCGCAUACUGUGAGGUGGAGACUAAUACCCUACACAAAGACCGGUUUCAGUUUGGAUUGGGGUGUGCAACUCGACCCCAUGAARUCGGAGUCGCUAGUAAUCGCAGAUCAGCACACGCUGCGGUGAAUACGUUCCCGGGCCUUGUACACACCGCCCGUCAAGUCACGAAAGUUGGUAACACCCGAAGCCAGGUGGCGCCUAACCCUUAGUGGAGGCGCAGCCGUCGAAAGGUKGGAACCAGAUGAUUGUGRGKAUAGUCGUAAUCAA